This 208-nucleotide non-coding RNA is filed under the name Antarctobacter heliothermus. The record is from RNAcentral. Lineage: Bacteria; Pseudomonadati; Pseudomonadota; Alphaproteobacteria; Rhodobacterales; Roseobacteraceae.
AGACACGACCCCGUGACCGGUCCCGAAGACGCGUUCUUCGGGGGAAAGAGGGAAUGCCGUGCCGCGCGCGUCUUGCGCGCCUAACCGGCAGCUGCCCCCGCAACUGUAAGCGGAGAGUCCGGGCCAAGACGCCACUGGAGAAAUCCGGGAAGGCAGGCCCAGACACUGACCCGCCAGCCAGGAGACCUGCCGGACACCCGUCGCCCGC